RNAcentral lists this ribosomal RNA (261 nucleotides) under uncultured archaeon. Its description in RNAcentral is "partial 16S ribosomal RNA". It matches the Rfam family "Archaeal small subunit ribosomal RNA", at positions 748 to 1008 of the family's 1478-position model. The record is from RNAcentral.
CAGCCGUAAACGAUGUGCGUUAGGUGUAUCGACGACCACGAGUUGUCGAGGUGCCGAAGGGAAACCGUGAAACGUACCGCCUGGGAAGUACGGUCGCAAGGCUGAAACUUAAAGGAAUUGGCGGGGGAGCACCACAACAGGUGGAGCCUGCGGUUUAAUUGGACUCAACGCCGGGAAGCUCACCGGAUAGGACAGCAGAAUGAUUGCCGGGCUGAAGACCCUGCAUGACUAGCUGAGAGGAGGUGCAUGGCGUCAGUGACU